This 23-nucleotide microRNA is filed under the name Homo sapiens (human). RNAcentral describes it as "hsa-miR-6720-5p". The record is from miRBase by way of RNAcentral. Lineage: Eukaryota; Metazoa; Chordata; Mammalia; Primates; Hominidae.
UUCCAGCCCUGGUAGGCGCCGCG